UAGAACCUAUUUGGUAUUAGUAAAGGUUGGU
This 31-nucleotide non-coding RNA is filed under the name Mus musculus (house mouse). Lineage: Eukaryota; Metazoa; Chordata; Mammalia; Rodentia; Muridae. The record is from RNAcentral.